Molecule: ribosomal RNA, 497 nt
Filed under: uncultured bacterium
Lineage: Bacteria
Description: partial 16S ribosomal RNA
Rfam family: Bacterial small subunit ribosomal RNA
Source: RNAcentral
GAUGAACGCUGGCGGCGUGCCUAAUACAUGCAAGUCGAGCGAACGGACGAGAAGCUUGCUUUUCUGAUGUUAGCGGCGGACGGGUGAGUAACACGUGGAUAACCUACCUAUAAGACUGGGAUAACUUCGGGAAACCGGAGCUAAUACCGGAUAAUAUUUUGAACCGCAUGGUUCAAAAGUGAAAGACGGUCUUGCUGUCACUUAUAGAUGGAUCCGCGCUGCAUUAGCUAGUUGGUAAGGUAACGGCUUACCAGGGCAACGAUGCAUAGCCGACCUGAGAGGGUGAUCGGCCACACUGGAGCUGAGACACGGUCCAGACUCCUACGGGAGGCAGCAGUAGGGAAUCUUCCGCAAUGGGCGAAAGCCUGACGGAGCAACGCCGCGUGAGUGAUGAAGGUCUUCGGAUCGUAAAACUCUGUUAUUAGGGAAGAACAUAUGUGUAAGUAACUGUGCACAUCUUGACGGUACCUAAUCAGAAAGCCACGGCUAACUACGUG